RNAcentral lists this ribosomal RNA (253 nucleotides) under uncultured bacterium. Its description in RNAcentral is "partial 16S ribosomal RNA". It matches the Rfam family "Bacterial small subunit ribosomal RNA", at positions 524 to 776 of the family's 1533-position model. The record is from RNAcentral.
UACGGAGGGUGCAAGCGUUAUCCGGAUUCACUGGGCUUAAAGGGCGCGUAGGCGGGCGAUCAAGUCAGGGGUGAAAUCCUCCGGCUCAACCGGAGAACUGCCUUUGAUACUGGUCAUCUCGAGUGAGGUAGGGGCAUGCGGAACUGAUGGUGGAGCGGUGAAAUGUGUUGAUAUCAUCAGGAACUCCGGUGGCGAAAGCGGCGUGCUGGACCUUUACUGACGCUGAUGCGCGAAAGCCAGGGGAGCGAACGGG